AACGCUGGCGGCGCGCUUAACACAUGCAAGUCGAGCGAGAAAGGGGAGCAAUCCCUGAGUACAGCGGCGUACGGGUGAGUAACACGUGGGUAAUCUACCUUCUAGUGGGGGAUAACCCUGGGAAACCGGGGCUAAUACCGCAUAAUCCUGUGAAGGGAAAGCAGCAAUGCGCUGGAAGAGGAGCCCGCGGCCGAUUAGCUAGUUGAUGAGGUAACGGCCCACCAAGGCGACGAUCGGUAGCCGGCCUGAGAGGGCACACGGCCACACUGGCACUGAAACACGGGCCAGACUCCUACGGGAGGCAGCAGUGGGGAAUCUUGCACAAUGGAGGCAACUCUGAUGCAGCGACGCCGCGUGAGCGAUGAAGCCCUUCGGGGUGUAAAGCUCUUUCGGCAGGGACGAUAAUG
Molecule: ribosomal RNA, 407 nt
Filed under: uncultured bacterium
Lineage: Bacteria
Description: bacterial SSU rRNA
Rfam family: Bacterial small subunit ribosomal RNA
Source: RNAcentral